This 462-nucleotide ribosomal RNA is filed under the name uncultured bacterium. Its description in RNAcentral is "partial 16S ribosomal RNA". It matches the Rfam family "Bacterial small subunit ribosomal RNA", at positions 28 to 507 of the family's 1533-position model. The record is from RNAcentral.
GACGAACGCUGGCGGCGUGCUUAACACAUGCCAGUCGAGCGGUAAGGCCUUUCGGGGUCCACGAGCGGCGAACGGGUGCGUAACACGUGGGUGAUCUGCCCUGCACUUCGGGAUAAGCCUGGGAAACUGGGUCUAAUACCGGAUAUGACCUCCUAUCGCAUGGUGGGUGGUGGAAAGAUUUAUCGGUGCAGGAUGGGCCCGCGGCCUAUCAGCUUGUUGGUGGGGUAAUGGCCUACCAAGGCGACGACGGGUAGCCGGCCUGAGAGGGUGACCGGCCACACUGGGACUGAGACACGGCCCAGACUCCUACGGGAGGCAGCAGUGGGGAAUAUUGCACAAUGGGCGGAAGCCUGAUGCAGCGACGCCGCGUGAGGGAUGACGGCCUUCGGGUUGUAAACCGCUUUCGGCAGGGACGAAGCGCGAGUGACGGUACCUGCAGAAGAAGCACCGGCUAACUACGUG